AUAGGUUGUAUUACUCAUUUGUAGGAGAGAGAACUACUGAUGAAACUGAACUUUAAAAACACGAGGAGUAGCGGAAAACAGGUGCAAAAAAAAAAGAAGAGCUGGCAAAAUGUGGAAAAGUAAAGGAAGAUACCCACAUCUUGUUAUUCGCGUUGAAGACCAUGGGAGAAGGACAAACCUCCGUGUCGUUGUCUAUUCAUCAUUGCUGAAGUGCUGAUUCUAUCUCACCAGGAAGCAUGAUUUAACCUCAUCCAAAGGAAAUGCUUUUCAGGUUUGAGAGGGAGGAGGGUUUGUUCAUAGUUCUGAGACUGAAGAGGAGGAACUAUGGACCCCACAGAAAUGGGAAGUGGAUCGUCCCAAGCAAGUGGUCCUAGUGCUAAGAGAUUAAUCCCUUUUGGAGGGCAGGGAGA
Pseudonaja textilis is the source of this 410-nucleotide non-coding RNA. Lineage: Eukaryota; Metazoa; Chordata; Lepidosauria; Squamata; Elapidae. The record is from RefSeq and is a predicted model, not a curated record.